UACGGAGGAUGCAAGCGUUAUCCGGAUUUACUGGGCGUAAAGCGCGUGUAGGUGGUACUGUAAGUAGGGCGUGAAAGCUCCUGGCUCAACUGGGAGAGGCCGUUCUAAACUACAGAACUAGAGGAUGGUAGAGGGAGGUGGAAUUCCAGGUGUAGCGGUGGAAUGCGCAGAUAUCUGGAGGAACACCGGUGGCGAAGGCGGCCUCCUGGACCAUUCCUGACACUCAGACGCGAAAGCUAGGGUAGCAAACGGG
RNAcentral lists this ribosomal RNA (253 nucleotides) under uncultured bacterium. RNAcentral describes it as "partial 16S ribosomal RNA". It matches the Rfam family "Bacterial small subunit ribosomal RNA", at positions 524 to 776 of the family's 1533-position model. The record is from RNAcentral.